AGGGCUAUAGCUCAGUUAGGUAGAGCACCUCGUUUACACAAGGUCUACGGUUCGAGUCCGUAUAGCCCUA
This 70-nucleotide transfer RNA is filed under the name Calla palustris (marsh calla). Its description in RNAcentral is "tRNA-Val". It matches the Rfam family "tRNA". From Rfam's summary of the family: Transfer RNA (tRNA) molecules are approximately 80 nucleotides in length. Their secondary structure includes four short double-helical elements and three loops (D, anti-codon, and T loops). The record is from RNAcentral. RNAcentral also lists the same sequence under 1 other name. Lineage: Eukaryota; Viridiplantae; Streptophyta; Magnoliopsida; Alismatales; Araceae.